This 570-nucleotide ribosomal RNA is filed under the name uncultured bacterium. RNAcentral's name for it is "bacterial SSU rRNA". It matches the Rfam family "Bacterial small subunit ribosomal RNA", at positions 69 to 634 of the family's 1533-position model. The record is from RNAcentral.
GCAGCACGGGUAGCAAUACUUGGUGGCGACCGGCGCAAGGGUGCGUAACGCGUGAGCAACAUGCCCGUAUCAGGGGGAUAAUCCAGGGAAACUUGGUCUAAUACCCCAUAGUAAUUUCGUAAGGCAUCUUAUGGGAUUUAAAGCUUUGGUGGAUACGGAUUGGCUCGCGUGACAUUAGCUAGAUGGUAAGGUAACGGCUUACCAUGGCUAUGAUGUCUAGGGGUUCUGAGAGGAAGGUCCCCCACACUGGAACUGAGACACGGUCCAGACUCCUACGGGAGGCAGCAGUGAGGAAUAUUGGACAAUGGAUGGAAAUCUGAUCCAGCCAUGCCGCGUGAAGGAAGAAUGUCCUAUGGAUUGUAAACUUCUUUUGUAUGGGAGCAAUAAGGUCUUCGUGAAGACUGAUGAGAGUACCAUACGAGUAAGCAUCGGCUAACUCCGUGCCAGCAGCCGCGGUAAUACGGAGGAUGCGAGCGUUAUCCGGAUUUAUUGGGUUUAAAGGGUGCGUAGGCUGUUAUAUAAGUCAGUGGUGAAAUAUUCGGGCUCAACCGGGAUACUGCCAUUGAUACU